RNAcentral lists this ribosomal RNA (494 nucleotides) under uncultured bacterium. Its description in RNAcentral is "bacterial SSU rRNA". It matches the Rfam family "Bacterial small subunit ribosomal RNA", at positions 903 to 1397 of the family's 1533-position model. The record is from RNAcentral.
AAAUGAAUUGACGGGGACCCGCACAAGCGGUGGAACAUGUGGCUUAAUUCGAUGCAACGCGAAAAACCUUACCUGGGUUUGGUAUAGAUUGGACCGGGGGUGAAAGCUCCCUUUUCGCAAGAACCGAUCUACAGGUGCUGCAUGGCUGUCGUCAGCUCGUGUCGUGAGAUGUUCUGUUAAGUCAGGUAACGAGCGCAACCCUCGUCUUUAGUUGCCAGCGGGUAAUGCCGGGGACUCUAAAGAGACAAACCUCCUAUGGAGGUGGGAAGGUGGGGAUGAUGUCAAGUCAGCAUGGCCCUUACAUCCAGGGCUGCACACGUGUUACAAUGCCUAGUACAGUGGGAUGCAAUACCGCGAGGUGGAGCUAAUCCAUAAAGCUAGGCCCAGUUCAGAUUGAAGUCUGCAACUCGACUUCAUGAAGCCGGAAUCGCUAGUAAUGGCACAUCAGAAGUGGUGCCGUGAAUACGUUCUCGGGUCUUGUACACACCGCCCGU